This 72-nucleotide transfer RNA is filed under the name Periplaneta japonica. Its description in RNAcentral is "tRNA-Leu". Lineage: Eukaryota; Metazoa; Arthropoda; Insecta; Blattodea; Blattidae. The record is from RNAcentral.
UCUAAUAUGGCAGAUAAGUGCAAUGGAUUUAAGCUCCAUAUAUAAAGAAUAUAAUAUAUACUUUUAUUAGAA